GGCGAAAAGAACCCCGGCGAGGGGAGUGAAAAAGAACCUGAAACCGUGUACGUACAAGCAGUGGGAGCACCCUUUGGGGUGUGACUGCGUACCUUUUGUAUAAUGGGUCAGCGACUUAUAUUCUGUAGCAAGGUUAACCGAAUAGGGGAGCCGGAGGGAAACCGAGUCUUAAUUGGGCGUUAAGUUGCAGGGUAUAGACCCGAAACCCGGUGAUCUAGCCAUGGGCAGGUUGAAGGUUGGGUAACACUAACUGGAGGACCGAACCGACUAAUGUUGAAAAAUUAGCGGAUGACCUGUGGCUGGGGGUGAAAGGCCAAUCAAACCGGGAGAUAGCUGGUUCUCCCCGAAAGCUAUUUAGGUAGCGCCUCGUGAAUUCAUCUCCGGGGGUAGAGCACUGUUUCGGCUAGGGGGCCAUCCCGGCUUACCAACCCGAUGCAAACUGCGAAUACCGGAGAAUGUUAUCACGGGAGACACACGGCGGGUGCUAACGUCCGUCGUGAAGAGGGAAACAACCCAGACCGCCAGCUAAGGUCCCAAAGUCAUGGUUAAGUGGGAAACGAUGUGGGAAGGCCCAGACAGCCAGGAUGUUGGCUUAGAAGCAGCCAUCAUUUAAAGAAAGCGUAAUAGCUCACUGGUCGAGUCGGCCUGCGCGGAAGAUGUAACGGGGCUAAACCAUG
RNAcentral lists this ribosomal RNA (677 nucleotides) under Salmonella enterica subsp. enterica serovar Schwarzengrund. RNAcentral's name for it is "partial 23S ribosomal RNA". It matches the Rfam family "Bacterial large subunit ribosomal RNA", at positions 513 to 1191 of the family's 2925-position model. Lineage: Bacteria; Pseudomonadati; Pseudomonadota; Gammaproteobacteria; Enterobacterales; Enterobacteriaceae. The record is from RNAcentral.